UUGAAUAAGUUAAAGUUCCAAGUUGUGCAACGAACGUGAUGUCAGUUGCUCGGCUUGCUGGUUCAAGUUCGCCUUUUCAAAAUGUUCCAUCGACUCCUUUAACUGCAAGUGCAACAAGCCGAAGACGUUUUUGGGGUAGCAGCUCUCCUUCAGCAGUAGUUCCACAACACCAGACCUUAUAUUCAUCUCCAUAUCAUCAUACAUUUUCUCAAAAUAGCCAGGAAUACGUCAUCCACGAUGAACAGAGAACACCUUCGGCCGUUCCAGGAGCCUUUGAAAUGGAGAAUUAUGACUAUCAUUUAGAUCAAUCUUUAAUUUCUGAAAACGCCAGAACAGCGGAUGUCGAACAAGUUGUUCCUGCUACACCACCGGGCAUACAUCAUGGACUAGACUCAUCUCCACACACAUUUAGACACCCCUUACACCUUCCUUUCAGAAUCAAUUCUUGGAGUUCCAUGACACCCAGACAGAAUGUGACCAGUUAUCUGCAACGGACACCGGAAUACAGAGCUUAUUCCCCAUCCUCGUUAGUGCUUUCGCAGGAAGAACCAAGAACUCCACAAACAACACUGACUAGAACCCAUCAAGUUUUAAGUGGUUCAAAUAUUCGACAUACACCAAGACGGGGUGUGGACAAUUUCAGAAAUCUACGAACACCCCAAUACUCAAGACGUCGAAAUUUGAAUGCAAAUGAAAAUUUCGAAACUCCAAGAAGACGUACUGUUUUACUAGAGAGGCGUUCUACUCCAGUAUUUAAUGUGGAACACCUCGCUAUUCGGCGUAAUGCCGUUGAAAUAGACUUUUUCA
Molecule: long non-coding RNA, 807 nt
Organism: Patella vulgata (common limpet)
Lineage: Eukaryota; Metazoa; Mollusca; Gastropoda; Patellidae
Exons: 3
Source: RefSeq, a predicted model, not a curated record